AGUUAAUGAGCUUGAAACAAGCGUAUGUUUUGAAAACAUAAGAUAAAAAUUAAAUAAUUUUUAUUAGCUU
This 70-nucleotide transfer RNA is filed under the name Euphylidorea dispar. RNAcentral's name for it is "tRNA-Ser". Lineage: Eukaryota; Metazoa; Arthropoda; Insecta; Diptera; Limoniidae. The record is from RNAcentral.